Molecule: non-coding RNA, 220 nt
Organism: Theobroma cacao (cacao)
Lineage: Eukaryota; Viridiplantae; Streptophyta; Magnoliopsida; Malvales; Malvaceae
Source: RefSeq, a predicted model, not a curated record
AAAGAAAAGUGUGAAAAUUCAAGAAUCAAGUGACAAAAGGUGGUGAAUCCUCUGCUAAGGGUAAAGAAAUUGUACCCGAGAAUCGGUAGUCAGAGUACUCUAGAAAUUCGACUCCCGAAAUAGCACAGAAUAGGCUAUAGAUAGUUGAUUUUCAUCGAGGGCUACCAUUGGAGUUGCAUCCUCCAAACUGUAGGUUCACAAUCCUCCUUACUUUUGGUUA